ACGCACGCAAGUGUGAAACUCAAAGGAAUUGACGGGGGCCCGCACAAGCGGUGGGGUAUGUGGUUUAAUUCGAUGCAACGCGAAGAACCUUACCAGGGUUUGACAUCCUGCGAAUCCCUUGGAAACGAGGGAGUGCCUUCGGGAGCGCAGUGACAGGUGGUGCAUGGCUGUCGUCAGCUCGUGUCGUGAGAUGUUGGGUUAAGUCCCGCAACGAGCGCAACCCACGUCGUUAGUUGCCAGCAUUUAGUUGGGCACUCUAGCGAGACCGCCGGUGAUAAACCGGAGGAAGGUGUGGAUGACGUCAAGUCAUCAUGCCCCUUACAUCCUGGGCUACACACGUACUACAAUGCUACGGACAAAGGGCAGCAAACUCGCGAGAGCUAGCAAAUCCCAUAAACCGUGGCUCAGUUCAGAUCGUAGGCUGCAACUCGCCUACGUGAAGGAGGAAUCGCUAGUAAUCGCAGGUCAGCAUACUGCGGUGAAUACGUUCCCGGGCCUUGUACACACCGCCCGUCACACCAUGGAAGUUGGCCACGCCCGAAGCCGUUACUCCAACCCUUGUGGAGGAGGACGUCGAAGGUGGGGCUGAUGACUGGGGUG
Molecule: ribosomal RNA, 600 nt
Filed under: uncultured bacterium
Lineage: Bacteria
Description: bacterial SSU rRNA
Rfam family: Bacterial small subunit ribosomal RNA
Source: RNAcentral